Molecule: long non-coding RNA, 232 nt
Filed under: Mytilus galloprovincialis (Mediterranean mussel)
Lineage: Eukaryota; Metazoa; Mollusca; Bivalvia; Mytilida; Mytilidae
Source: RNAcentral
UUUUCAAAUAGUUUUUGUCAAAAAUGAAAGUGGCCGCAUCCGUGUUCAUCCUCAACCUUUAUAUAUGUUAUGUAUUAUCGUCAAAUACAACUUACAUUUCAGUAUUAUAAAUGAACACGAAUGCGGCCACUUUCAUUUAGGACGGAAACCAUCUAAAAUUUAACUAAAAUGCUAAAAUUGUGAAGAUUUCGGUAAUUUAGCAUGACUUUAUGAUGCUAGUACCCGAUAUAUG